Molecule: ribosomal RNA, 437 nt
Filed under: uncultured bacterium
Lineage: Bacteria
Description: partial 16S ribosomal RNA
Rfam family: Bacterial small subunit ribosomal RNA
Source: RNAcentral
AGCGAACGCUGGCGGCAGGCUUAACACAUGCAAGUCGAGCGGGCACCUUUCGGGGUGUCAGCGGCGGACGGGUGAGUAACGCGUGGGAACGUGCCCUCUGGUUCGGAAUAACUCAGGGAAACUUGAGCUAAUACCGGAUACGCCCUUUUGGGGAAAGGCUUGCUGCCGGAGGAUCGGCCCGCGUCUGAUUAGCUAGUUGGUGAGGUAACGGCUCACCAAGGCGACGAUCAGUAGCUGGUCUGAGAGGAUGAUCAGCCACACUGGGACUGAGACACGGCCCAGACUCCUACGGGAGGCAGCAGUGGGGAAUAUUGGACAAUGGGCGCAAGCCUGAUCCAGCCAUGCCGCGUGAGUGAUGAAGGCCUUAGGGUUGAAAAGCUCUUUUAUCCGGGACGAUAAUGACGGUACCGGAGGAAUAAGCCCCGGCUAACUUCGUG